UAUCAAAAUAUAACAAGUUACAGUUUUGACAAGAUAUCAAAAUAUAAUGUCAUCCAUCCAUAAUUUUAUUUUAGCUUAUAAGUUACCGCUCGUCUCUUCUCCUUCGUUAUCGGACAGACUUCGCUAAGGACCUUGACCUCUACGUGAAUUCGAAGGUAAUGCGGCGAUUCGUGACAUAACCGGGGAACUGAACGACUCGCCUUGUCCCUGGAUUAGAACUAGAAGAAUAAAGAGAAGAACCCAAAAUAGAAUAAGAGCAACAUUUGAAGUCAUUGAAACCAUUUUCAAAUUGUCUUCAUAACAUGCAUCAGCCAGUG
Molecule: long non-coding RNA, 317 nt
Filed under: Capsella grandiflora
Lineage: Eukaryota; Viridiplantae; Streptophyta; Magnoliopsida; Brassicales; Brassicaceae
Description: long non-coding RNA (CGRA_LNC000126)
Source: RNAcentral